AUUUACCCCCCGGAGGUCACAGCAACAAAGCACCAUCUUGGACGCAUGUCACACUUGUACACACCACAUGCAGAAUCUGUUGGUGCCUUGAUGGUGGGCUUUCCAGCAUCCAAACUUGUUUUGCUCUGUCAACUGUUUGUUAGAAGAUUUCAUGCCAGAGAAAAUUGAGUUUCAUAUCCAUGCUCAUAGAUCACAGUCUGAAUACAACUUGCUGCACUCCACUUGGCAGGGACAUGGAUGAAUCUGGAGAACAUCAUCCUCAGCAAACUGACACAAGAACAGAAAAUGAAACACCGCAUAUUCUCACUCAUAG
Callithrix jacchus (white-tufted-ear marmoset) is the source of this 313-nucleotide long non-coding RNA. RefSeq lists it as uncharacterized. The record is from RefSeq and is a predicted model, not a curated record. Lineage: Eukaryota; Metazoa; Chordata; Mammalia; Primates; Cebidae.